CCACUAAAAGAAAUUUGAGGGGCUCGCCGCGUGAGGGAUGAGGCUCUUCGGGUUGUAAACCUCUGUUCCCCUUGACGAACGAUGAUCAUUUGGUCGGGUAACGGAACCGGGUGAGGAAUCACCGGCUAACUCCGUGCCAACAGCUGCGGUAAUACAGAGGGUGCGAGCGUUGUCCGGAAUCAAUGCGCAUAAAGGGCUCUUAGGCGGCUGGUGUAACACGGCUGGUGUAAUCCCGGGGCUUCACCUCCGGUGGCCGGCCGGGCUUACUGUCGGGUUGGAGAAAUGUAAGGGCAGGUGGAAUUCCGGGUGUAGCGGUGGAAUGGAUAAAAAUCGGGAGGAAAACCGGUGGCUAAGGCGUUUUGUUGGGCCGAUGAUGACAUUGAGGGGCGAACAGAUUGGGUAGCAAACAGGAUUAAAUCCCCUGGUAUUCCACGCCGAAAACGAGGGGGACUAGAUGCUUGGGGGAGCGACCCUCCCAGUGUCGUUGCUAACCCUUUAAGGGCCCCCCCUGGGGAGAACUGCCACAUGGGUUAAAUUUCAAGGGAUUUGACGGA
This 554-nucleotide ribosomal RNA is filed under the name uncultured Gemmatimonadota bacterium. Its description in RNAcentral is "bacterial SSU rRNA". It matches the Rfam family "Bacterial small subunit ribosomal RNA", at positions 368 to 917 of the family's 1533-position model. The record is from RNAcentral. Lineage: Bacteria; Pseudomonadati; Gemmatimonadota.